RNAcentral lists this long non-coding RNA (245 nucleotides) under Eucalyptus grandis. RNAcentral describes it as "long non-coding RNA (EGRA_LNC003775)". The record is from RNAcentral. Lineage: Eukaryota; Viridiplantae; Streptophyta; Magnoliopsida; Myrtales; Myrtaceae.
UCGUCGUUCGCAGCAAGACUCAUCGUUAAGGUUGCCAAUCGGUUCGAUUUUCUUUCUAGAAAGCGCACUGUCCAAGAGUGCGCUUGAAAUCCGUAGUUUCUGCGAGCACAAUACUGUUGGAAAGUUGAAUUGUGCAGCUAAAAGCCAGCACAUGUGACCUUGUUGACCAAUUCGUCAGAAAAACCGGGGAGAGAGACUUGCUCGUGUAUAAGGUGGAUCCCUUGGAGCCUCAGUGGCAUAGAGAA